This 451-nucleotide ribosomal RNA is filed under the name uncultured crenarchaeote. Its description in RNAcentral is "bacterial SSU rRNA". It matches the Rfam family "Archaeal small subunit ribosomal RNA", at positions 452 to 903 of the family's 1478-position model. The record is from RNAcentral. Lineage: Archaea; Thermoproteati; Thermoproteota.
CUGGUGUCAGCCGCCGCGGUAAAACCAGCACCUCAAGUGGUCAGGAUGAUUAUUGGGCCUAAAGCAUCCGUAGCCGGCUCUGUAAGUUUUCGGUUAAAUCUGUACGCUCAACGUACAGGCUGCCGGGAAUACUGCAGAACUAGGGAGUGGGAGAGGUAGACGGUACUCGGUAGGAAGUGGUAAAAUGCUUUGAUCUAUCGAUGACCACCUGUGGCGAAGGCGGUCUACCAGAACACGUCCGACGGUGAGGGAUGAAAGCUGGGGGAGCAAACCGGAUUAGAUACCCGGGUAGUCCCAGCUGUAAACUAUGCAAACUCAGUGAUGCAUUGGCUUGUGGCCAAUGCAGUGCUGCAGGGAAGCCGUUAAGUUUGCCGCCUGGGAAGUACGUACGCAAGUAUGAAACUUAAAGGAAUUGGCGGGGGAGCACCACAAGGGGUGAAGCCUGCGGUUC